Molecule: unclassified non-coding RNA, 456 nt
Filed under: Schistosoma guineensis
Lineage: Eukaryota; Metazoa; Platyhelminthes; Trematoda; Strigeidida; Schistosomatidae
Source: RNAcentral
UCAUAACCCAAAAAUAUAUAAUGAUGCAUGCACCUGGCUUCUUGCUGGGCUGUAUGUACCCUGGCUUGGUGGUUAUUACCCUAGGCUUCAGUGGUUGAUAUUUUCUUGACCGGGGUACCUAGCCUGUCGUAUGCCCUGAUGGUGUUCUCGUAACUUUCGGGUUGCCUGAWCUGCCAAGGGCGAUGGGACAGUGCAUGACGCUAUUGUUGUGUGCUAGGUUCAAAGAGAAUUGUAUGCUAUAUGCAUGCAAAUCCGCCCCGUUAUUGUUCCUAUUUCAAACUUUUACACUGUUGAAGCGAUCCGGUUUGGCUUGCCAUUCACGGGUUUNCUGCCUGGCAUGCACCUGGCUUCGUGCUGGACUGCAUGUACGCUGGCUUAGCGGUAAAUAUCCUAGNCUGCAGCGUUAACCAUUAGUUCUAUGCAUUUGGGAAACCAAUGUAUGGGAUUAUUGGCGUA